CGGCAUUCUUUCUUUCCCUCUCUCACCGUUGCAAUUUCAGAGCUCAGUUAAGUAAUUUGUGGAUCUCUCUCUCUCUCUGAGCUAAAACCAAAGCAACGGGAAUGGCUUCAACGGGGCAAUCCCAAUCUCUGAAAAGACGAGAUGCACCAGUAACAAGAGAAGGGGAUCAACUAACUUUAACUCCUCUUGGGGCUGGCAAUGAAGUGGGUCGAUCCUGUGUGUACAUGUCCUAUAAAGGGAAGACAGUGUUGUUUGAUUGUGGAAUUCAUCCGGCUUACUCAGGCAUGGCUGCCUUGCCAUACUUUGAUGAGAUUGAUCCUUCAACUAUUGAUGUACUUCUCAUCACCCACUUUCACUUGGAUCAUGCUGCAUCUCUGCCUUAUUUCUUGGAGAAGACCACAUUUAAGGGUCGUGUCUUCAUGACUCAUGCAACAAAGGCUAUCUACAAGUUGCUUUUAACAGGUUAUGUUAAAGUCAGCAAGGUUUAUGUCUUGCUCAUCAAACAACAUG
Molecule: unclassified non-coding RNA, 510 nt
Filed under: Hevea brasiliensis (rubber tree)
Lineage: Eukaryota; Viridiplantae; Streptophyta; Magnoliopsida; Malpighiales; Euphorbiaceae
Source: RNAcentral